RNAcentral lists this ribosomal RNA (452 nucleotides) under uncultured soil bacterium. RNAcentral describes it as "bacterial SSU rRNA". It matches the Rfam family "Bacterial small subunit ribosomal RNA", at positions 26 to 522 of the family's 1533-position model. The record is from RNAcentral.
AGAACGAACGCUGGCGGCAUGCCUAAUACAUGCAAGUCGAACGAACUCUUCGGAGUUAGUGGCGCACGGGUGCGUAACGCGUGGGAAUCUGCCCCUUGGUUCGGAAUAACAGUUGGAAACGACUGCUAAUACCGGAUGAUGACGAAAGUCCAAAGAUUUAUCGCCAAGGGAUGAGCCCGCGUAGGAUUAGCUAGUUGGUGAGGUAAAGGCUCACCAAGGCAACGAUCCUUAGCUGGUCUGAGAGGAUGAUCAGCCACACUGGGACUGAGACACGGCCCAGACUCCUACGGGAGGCAGCAGUAGGGAAUAUGGACAAUGGGCGAAAGCCUGAUCCAGCAAUGCCGCGUGAGUGAUGGAAGCCGUUAAGGUUGUAAAGCUUCUUUACCGAGAUGAUAAUGACAGUAGUCGGAGAAGUAACGCCCGGUACUAACCGUCCGUGCCAGCAGGCCGAC